RNAcentral lists this ribosomal RNA (301 nucleotides) under uncultured bacterium. RNAcentral describes it as "partial 16S ribosomal RNA". It matches the Rfam family "Bacterial small subunit ribosomal RNA", at positions 509 to 809 of the family's 1533-position model. The record is from RNAcentral.
CAGUAGCCGCGGUAAUACGUAGGGUGCAAGCGUUAAUCGGAAUUACUGGGCGUAAAGCGUGCGCAGGCGGUUUUGUAAGACAGAGGUGAAAUCCCCGGGCUCAACCUGGGAACUGCCUUUGUGACUGCAAGGCUAGAGUACGGCAGAGGGGGAUGGAAUUCCGCGUGUAGCAGUGAAAUGCGUAGAUAUGCGGAGGAACACCGAUGGCGAAGGCAAUCCCCUGGGCCUGUACUGACGCUCAUGCACGAAAGCGUGGGGAGCAAACAGGAUUAGAUACCCGCGUAGUCCCUGUCUCUUAUAA